This 466-nucleotide ribosomal RNA is filed under the name uncultured Comamonas sp. RNAcentral's name for it is "bacterial SSU rRNA". It matches the Rfam family "Bacterial small subunit ribosomal RNA", at positions 338 to 796 of the family's 1533-position model. Lineage: Bacteria; Pseudomonadati; Pseudomonadota; Betaproteobacteria; Burkholderiales; Comamonadaceae. The record is from RNAcentral.
CCUACGGGAUGCAGCAGUGGGGAAUUUUGGACAAUGGGCGCAAGCCUGAUCCAGCAAUGCCGCGUGCAGGAUGAAGGCCUUCGGGUUGUAAACUGCUUUUGUACGGAACGAAAAGGCUCUGGUUAAUACCUGGGGCUCAUGACGGUACCGUAAGAAUAAGCACCGGCUAACUACGUGCCAGCAGCCGCGGUAAUACGUAGGGUGCGAGCGUUAAUCGGAAUUACUGGGCGUAAAGCGUGCGCAGGCGGUUUUGUAAGACAGAGGUGAAAUCCCCGGGCUCAACCUGGGAACUGCCUUUGUGACUGCAAAGCUGGAGUGCGGCAGAGGGGGAUGGAAUUCCGCGUGUAGCAGUGAAAUGCGUAGAUAUGCGGAGGAACACCGAUGGCGAAGGCAAUCCCCUGGGCCUGCACUGACGCUCAUGCACGAAAGCGUGGGGAGCAAACAGGAUUAGAAACCCCGGUAGUCC